Long non-coding RNA from Homalodisca vitripennis (glassy-winged sharpshooter), 895 nucleotides. RefSeq lists it as uncharacterized. Lineage: Eukaryota; Metazoa; Arthropoda; Insecta; Hemiptera; Cicadellidae. The transcript has 2 exons. The record is from RefSeq and is a predicted model, not a curated record.
AAUCCAUUGCAUUCACUGCUAUAACUUGAAAUAGAUAUUGUUUCAAUAUACAUUAUAAAUAAUGGCUUAGUAUGUAAUAAAAAGCCAUAGAGAAAGAAUUAAUGGCAUUCAGAUGCAAAUUGUUUACAACAACAAACAUGUAAUUAGUCUAGUCCCUACAUUGAAUUUUCUAUGUGAAAAUUUCAGCUAGCUGGAAUUAUGAGUCAUGUAGACAGCACAAUUUAUCCCAUUAUUGUGUGUUGUUUAAGAGAUCAUCCUUCAGAAUAUCACUUCUGUAUACUGCCAAAUCACUACAUAUAAGUCAUACUACAUUGUAAGCUUGGACAUACAUACCUGGCUGUCAGUUUUCUGUCAGAGUGUUCACCACUGGGAGUGGAGGCCUGCUCAUCAUCAUCACUCUCCUGACUACCAGAGACUGACUGUGACUGUGUUGUCUCAAGCAGAAGGUCUGGUCGCUUGGCUCGCCUCUGGGACUUACGCAAUUCCUCUACAUCCAUUGCGUUCACUGUAUAGUCACUGUUGGUAUCCUCUGGUGGUGGGUAAUAGAUCAACUGAUGUCUCGACUCUUCUACUGACUCCCCCUCUGACAUGUCUUCUACGUCCCCAUCGUGUUCUGUACUCUCUAGGUCCUAAAAAAGUUGCAUAAACUUAUUUGACUUUAACUAAUAAAUUAGCAUAAAACAAACAAUGUCAGUUAAAUCCAUAACACUGUUUUAAUAUUAAAUGCUAUUUGAAAAAAUUACAAGAAACCGAAGCAAUCUUUAAUAAACUGAAGUGGUUUGAUAGGGUAAUUUGAAAACGAAAAUACAAAUCAGAACCACAUUAUUGGUUACUCUAAAACAAUUACAGCAGUUGUAGAGUAUUAAUUAGAUAAAUAAAAACUAUUAUAAGAGUA